UCGCGAUUCUUUGACCAGUUAAAGUUGUAAAUAAUAUCCAUGUAAUCAUCCAAGUGAAUAAUGUUAACAAAUUCAAAAAUCUUGUCGUCUGCUACUGUAAAUCGACAAAAGUGUGGGUUGUAUUUAAUUUGUACAUGACAUCGCCAUCCAUCAACAUGAUUCCAAAGUCAAGGUAUUUACGCUGAUCUCGUAAGUUUCGUUUAUUUGUUUUGUAUCCACGGUUUCUACCUGAGGUAUCCCUCGGGUUUGUAAUACAAGCUUCUCGAGACAUCGGCCCUUCCCUCACCCCGCCACCUAAUUCGCGAGCAUUACCGAGCACAGCCGAAGGGCCAUUCCUACUUAGAAAAUUAACCUAGCAAGACGUGUCGAGACGUGUCGGCGUUUCGCAACCGAGUCCCUGAUCGAAAUUCGACGCCAUGGAAAGUUUUAUUGGCGCGAAAACGACACCACAACAGAUGGCAGACGAGUCGAGAAAUUUUGGAGGGAAUAUGCAUUGUCUGUGAACUUGACUCUGAAAACCAGCAGAAGCUACCAGAAGAAGACCACGCGCGAACAACGUAAGUAUAAAUUUAUGCUUUGAAAUUUGUUAAUUAAAAAUCUCUGUAAUUUUAACAAUAAAUCAGGUUUCUUAAGAAACAAUUCUAUAAUACUUUGGGUCCUCCUC
Molecule: long non-coding RNA, 664 nt
Organism: Colletes gigas
Lineage: Eukaryota; Metazoa; Arthropoda; Insecta; Hymenoptera; Colletidae
Exons: 3
Source: RefSeq, a predicted model, not a curated record